GUGGGUAACCUGCCUUAUAGUGGGGGAUAGCCUUUCGAAAGGAAGAUUAAUACCGCAUAAGAUUGUAGUAUCGCAUGAUAUAGCAAUUAAAGGAGCAAUUCGCUAUAAGAUGGACCCGCGUCGCAUUAGCUAGUUGGUGAGGUAAUGGCUCACCAAGGCGACGAUGCGUAGCCGACCUGUGAGGGUGAUCGGCCACAUUGGGACUGAGACACGGCCCAGACUCCUACGGGAGGCAGCAUG
Molecule: ribosomal RNA, 240 nt
Filed under: uncultured bacterium
Lineage: Bacteria
Description: partial 16S ribosomal RNA
Rfam family: Bacterial small subunit ribosomal RNA
Source: RNAcentral